Long non-coding RNA from Mobula hypostoma (lesser devil ray), 775 nucleotides. RefSeq lists it as uncharacterized. NCBI's taxonomy places the organism in Eukaryota, Metazoa, Chordata, Chondrichthyes, Myliobatiformes, Myliobatidae. The record is from RefSeq and is a predicted model, not a curated record. The transcript is spliced from 3 exons.
AUGGAAGUUUCUGAUCAGGUCCUGGUCCAGGAUGUCAUGGAAGGGAACGCAUGACCUGUCCUCUGGCUGUAACGCUCCCAAUCCACCAAAUACUACCACAAACCAGGCCGGAGUUGAGAAGCUGAUGGAUGGUGUACACUGGCUGACCAUCAAUGAUACAAAGAGUCAUGGACCGUCUCAGACAGCACAGAAGGUCCUUUAGACAGAGAACAUGGAAGGUGCAGAUGUGACAGGCUGCAAUUACAGGCCAUGCCUGGCUAUCAGAAUCGCCUCUUGCUGAAUUCUGCUGGACAGAGUUAGGGAUGAAAAGAUGAAUCUCACUGAAAUAUGACAACGUGGAAGUGCCAUUCCUAAUGUGUCAAGUUAAGACAAAACAUAUUGGACUGACACAUUUGCUGCUUCAGUUUGGCUUGUUCCGAUGCAGAUAACAUUAUAUACACUGAGUGAAAUAUACAGUGGAUUCCGAUUAAUUGAGAUACGUGGGGACCAGUACAUUUUGGCGCAGAUAAGUGGCUGUUCCGAUGAGUCAAGUUUCAUGGAAAUAGUUAAGAAGGUAUAAAAAAAGCAAAGUACUGUUUAACUGAGUAACAAACUGUGUAUUUAAAUUAAGUACAGAACAAAUUAGAACAUCAUCAAUACUACUACAAUUAUAUAAAACUGUGAAUUAGUUCCAAAUAGUUAUUGAUGGAGGAAUUCAUUCAGUGUACACUGCUGUGUUCUUUUGAUGGACUGUAAGUGAACAAAAUCAAAGCAGACACCUUGUGCAAAUAAUGGA